RNAcentral lists this non-coding RNA (21 nucleotides) under Mus musculus (house mouse). The record is from RNAcentral. Lineage: Eukaryota; Metazoa; Chordata; Mammalia; Rodentia; Muridae.
UGCUUUCUAGCUCUUCAGAAC